Molecule: long non-coding RNA, 303 nt
Organism: Trematomus bernacchii (emerald rockcod)
Lineage: Eukaryota; Metazoa; Chordata; Actinopteri; Perciformes; Nototheniidae
Exons: 3
Source: RefSeq, a predicted model, not a curated record
GAUGUGCCAGUCAUGCUUUUGGGCUUUCCUGGCCAGGGCGAGGGUGGCAGCCUCCCGUCGGAGGCCGGCCGGAGCUAUUCCCGCGAGGACUGGCAAGAGGGACACAGGGCUUGCCGCACUGCCUAUAAACUACAUCACCUGGUGCAUAGGCCGGACAGCCAAUCAGACGCCAGACACAGGGAGAUGAGGAGAUCUGGGCUCUUCUAAUCCAUUUUUACUCCCACAUAGGAGCAGCCGGCCAAUCAGAGACACGCCCAGGACCCAAUUGGCCCGGAAGGCAGUGGAGCAGAAGCAAAAGUGAGA